Molecule: ribosomal RNA, 460 nt
Filed under: uncultured bacterium
Lineage: Bacteria
Description: partial 16S ribosomal RNA
Rfam family: Bacterial small subunit ribosomal RNA
Source: RNAcentral
CCUACGGGGGGCAGCAGUGAGGAAUAUUGGUCAAUGGACGAGAGCCUGAACCAGCCAAGUAGCGUGAAGGAUGACUGCCCUAUGGGUUGUAAACUUCUUUUAUAUGGGAAUAAAAUGUUCCACGUGUGGGAUUUUGUAUGUACCAUAUGAAUAAGGAUCGGCUAACUCCGUGCCAGCAGCCGCGGUAAUACGGAGGAUUCGAGCGUUAUCCGGAUUUAUUGGGUUUAAAGGGAGCGUAGGUGGAUUGUUAAGUCAGUUGUGAAAGUUUGCGGCUCAACCGUAAAAUUGCAGUUGAAACUGGCAGUCUUGAGUACAGUAGAGGUAGGCGGAAUUCGUGGUGUAGCGGUGAAAUGCUUAGAUAUCACGAAGAACUCCGAUUGCGAAGGCAGCUCACUGGACUGCAACUGACACUGAGGCUCGAAAGUGUGGGUAUCAAACAGGAUUAGAUACCCUGGUAGUC